GGAAAACUGCACUUCAGUUUCUACCAAACGAGUCGUAUUAAAAGCCAACAGAAAGACGUAUCAAAGUUGUAUCACUGACUAUAAAAGUCACGCGUAUUUUUUUACAUUUUCAUACUCGACCAAACGUCCCUAUUUUUUGAUAAAUAAGUGAAAGGUAAGUGACAAACAGGUGAUCACCGGCUCCCUCUUGUGGUCAAUAAGUGUAUCAACAUUAUUAAUUGAAACGACAAACUCGAGAUGGCGGCCGGUAUAGUCGUAGGUGAGACUGAAACGUACAUUUGAUAUAUUUUCCGACAAAUCUAUGAUUUUGUCGGGGUCUUGACCCGCAGAGCAACAUGGAUCUACCAGUUUCAGAAAAUGAAUCAGAUCAGCUCUCAACUGAUGGGGUAACACUGGUGAAAUGUGUUGAACUCGAAGGCACGUGCUCAGAGUCUAAAUACGUAAAAUACGGGUCGAGUUUCUUAUUUUUAUGACUUCUGUUGGAAUGGAUCUAAAGUGAUGACUGUUUGUAGUGCUCAACUCCAGUCCUGGGGACUCACAGUGCUGCACAUUUUGUUUCUCUCUCUCUUAUUUGUUAGACCUACUUUCCUAGUAUCUGAAGCGUAUUCAAUCAUGCAUCAUGUUCUGGCCCGAAAUCACAAUAUGUCAAGAAAAACUUUAAAUUAUUUAGAUAUUACAUAUAAUUUGGUAGUUGAACUUACAGUGUUGCACAUUUUGUUGGUGUAUU
This is a long non-coding RNA of Megalobrama amblycephala (Wuchang bream), 727 nucleotides long. RefSeq lists it as uncharacterized. The transcript is spliced from 2 exons. The record is from RefSeq and is a predicted model, not a curated record. NCBI's taxonomy places the organism in Eukaryota, Metazoa, Chordata, Actinopteri, Cypriniformes, Xenocyprididae.